ACUCAAAGGAAUUGACGGGUCCCCGCACAAGCGGCGGAGCAUGCGGCUUAAUUCGAUGCAACCCGAAGAACCUUACCUGGGUUUGACAUCAUGGGAAAAGCCGUAGAAAUACGGUGUCCGCAAGGGCCCAUGACAGGUGGUGCAUGGCUGUCGUCAGCUCGUGUCGUGAGGUGUUGGGUUAAGUCCCGCAACGAGCGCAACCCUCGUCCUAUGUUGCCAGCGGUUCGGCCGGGGACUCAUAGGAGACUGCCGGGGAUAACUCGGAGGAAGGUGGGGACGAAGUCAAGUCAUCAUGCCCCUUAUAUCCAGGGCUGCACGCAUGCUACAAUGGCCGGUACAACGGGCAGCGACCUCGCGAGAGUGAGCGAAUCCCUCAAAGUCGGCCUUAGUUCGGAUUGAAGUCUGCAACUCGACUUCAUGAAGCCGGAGUCGCUAGUAAUCGCGGAUCAGCAAAGCCGCGGUGAAUACGUUCUCGGGGAUUGUACACACCGCCCGU
RNAcentral lists this ribosomal RNA (496 nucleotides) under uncultured bacterium. RNAcentral describes it as "partial 16S ribosomal RNA". It matches the Rfam family "Bacterial small subunit ribosomal RNA", at positions 899 to 1397 of the family's 1533-position model. The record is from RNAcentral.